AACGAACGCUGGCGGCAUGCCUAACACAUGCAAGUCGAACGAGACCUUCGGGUCUAGUGGCGCACGGGUGCGUAACGCGUGGGAACCUGCCCUUAGGUUCGGAAUAACUCCCCGAAAGGGGUGCUAAUACCGGAUAAUGUCUUCGGACCAAAGAUUUAUCGCCUUUGGAUGGGCCCGCGUUGGAUUAGCUAGUUGGUAGGGUAAAAGCCUACCAAGGCGACGAUCCAUAGCUGGUCUGAGAGGAUGAUCAGCCACACUGGGACUGAGACACGGCCCAGACUCCUACGGGAGGCAGCAGUGGGGAAUAUUGGACAAUGGGCGAAAGCCUGAUCCAGCAAGGCCGCGUGAGUGAUGAAGGCCUUAGGGUGGUAAAGCUCUUUUACCCGGGAUGAUAAUGACAGUACCGGGAGAAUAAGCUCCGGCUAACUCCGU
Molecule: ribosomal RNA, 432 nt
Filed under: uncultured bacterium
Lineage: Bacteria
Description: partial 16S ribosomal RNA
Rfam family: Bacterial small subunit ribosomal RNA
Source: RNAcentral